AGCAUAUCAAUAAGCGGAGGAAAAGAAACUAACCAGGAUUCCCUUAGUAAUGGCGAACGAACAGGGAAGAGCUCAGAACCGAAUCCUGUGGCUUGAUGUCAUUGGGAGCUGUGGUGUAUGGGUGACGUUUUGCAGUGACUGUCUUGCUUUAAGUCCACAUGAUUGUGGCUUCUAGCCCAUGGAGGGUGUAAGGCCCGUAGAAGUGGGGCGGUCAUUGUUAUAAGUUACCCUUGAGUCGGGUUGUUUGGGAAUGCAGCCUAAAGUGGUGGUAAACUCCAUCAAAAGCUAAAUACAACACGAGUCCGAUAGCGAACAAGUACCAUGAGGGAAAGUUGAAAAGAACUUUGAAGAGAGAGUUCAACAGUACGUGAAACCGCUCAGAGGUAAGCGGGUGGAGCUGAAAGUUGUGUGUGAAUUGAUGCUUGCUGUUGUGGGCACGUUUGAAGGGUGACCUGUUACGGGCAUUCCCAGGCGUGUGCUGUUGUAACGGUUGGCUGUAUAUUCCAUGCAUGAAUCACGAUCGGCGAGAGGUGUGAGUCUGUCAUCAGCUAGAGGUAGCUCAUUGGCUUUCGGGCUUUUGGGUAUUUAUAAUGGUUGGUACGGAGCUUGCAUAUUGUCGAGCAUAGCGAUGCCAGUCAUACGACGCUCAAGUCGCCUUAUUAUGGUGGCAUUUUUGUAUAAAUAAUAUUUGUAUGGAAAUGUUCGUCUUAACUGAGGUGGCCUCUGAGUCUGGUGUCAAUAGUCGUGAUUUGCUUGUAGGCCCUCCACCCGGCCCGUCUUGAAACACGGACCAAGGAGUCUAACAUGUGCGCGAGUUAUUGGGUUCUACGAAACCUAAAAGCGAAUUGAAAGAGAAGGUUGCCUUCGUUGCAACUCAGGUCUGAUCAGUGCUCCCACGGGGGUGCAGCGCAAGACCGGCUUGUCUCAUGCUUUUUAAGCGAGGCAACGCAAGAGCGCAUAUGAUGGUACCCGAAAGAUGGUGAACUAUGCCUGCGUAGGUUGAAGCCAGAGGAAACUCUGGUGGAAGACCGCAGCGAUUCUGACGUGCAAAUCGAUCGUCAAACGUGGGUAUAGGGGCGAAAGACUAAUCGAACUAUCUAGUAGCUGGUUCCUUUCGAAGUUUCCCUCAGGAUAGCUGGCAUUCGAGGAACAAACAGUUUUAUUCGGUAAAGCGAAUGAUUAGAAGUAUUGGGGAUGAAAUGUCCUCAACUUAUUCUCAAACUUUAAAUGGGUAAGAAGUCUCACUCUCUUAAAUUAUGGAGUGAUGACAUUGAAUGUGAAUGCCUAGUGGGCCAUUUUUGGUAAGCAGAACUGGCGAUGUGGAAUGAACCAAAAGCGGUAGCUAAGGUGCCUAACUGAGCGCUCAUGACAUACCACAAAAGGUGUUGGUUGAUAUAGACAGCAGGACGGUGGCCAUGGAAGUUGGAAUCCGCUAAGGAGUGUGUAACAACUCACCUGCCGAAUCAACCAGCCCUGAAAAUGGAUGGCGGUGGAGCGUUCGACCUAUGCUGCGCCGUUACAGUAAUGAGAGAUUUUAAACUGUAACGUGUAGAAAGGUGACGUGGUAAGCGUAGAAGCUCGAUGCUAUAGUCGGGUGGAGCUGCCAUGUGUGCAGAUCUUGGUGGUAGUAGCAAGUAUUCAAGUGAGAUUCUUGAAGACUGAUGUG
RNAcentral lists this ribosomal RNA (1666 nucleotides) under Ptychopera japonica. Its description in RNAcentral is "eukaryotic LSU rRNA". It matches the Rfam family "Eukaryotic large subunit ribosomal RNA", at positions 37 to 1498 of the family's 3401-position model. Lineage: Eukaryota; Metazoa; Platyhelminthes; Rhabdocoela; Trigonostomidae. The record is from RNAcentral.